Molecule: non-coding RNA, 27 nt
Filed under: Mus musculus (house mouse)
Lineage: Eukaryota; Metazoa; Chordata; Mammalia; Rodentia; Muridae
Source: RNAcentral
GAGAAAAAGACUGCCCUGGGCCACACA